UGGAACUGAGACACGGUCCAAACUCCUACGGGAGGCAGCAGUGGGGAAUAUUGCACAAUGGGCGAAAGCCUGAUGCAGCAACGCCGCGUGAGUGAUGAAGGCCUUCGGGUCGUAAAACUCUGUCCUCAAGGAAGAUAAUGCCGGUACUUGAGGAGGAAGCCCCGGCUAACUACGUGCCAGCAGCCGCGGUAAUACGUAGGGGGCUAGCGUUAUCCGGAUUUACUGGGCGUAAAGGGUGCGGAGGCGGUCUUUCAAGUCAGGAGUGAAAGGCUACGGC
This 277-nucleotide ribosomal RNA is filed under the name Clostridioides difficile. RNAcentral describes it as "partial 16S ribosomal RNA". It matches the Rfam family "Bacterial small subunit ribosomal RNA", at positions 314 to 608 of the family's 1533-position model. Lineage: Bacteria; Bacillati; Bacillota; Clostridia; Peptostreptococcales; Peptostreptococcaceae. The record is from RNAcentral.